This 262-nucleotide ribosomal RNA is filed under the name uncultured bacterium. Its description in RNAcentral is "partial 16S ribosomal RNA". It matches the Rfam family "Bacterial small subunit ribosomal RNA", at positions 336 to 615 of the family's 1533-position model. The record is from RNAcentral.
UUCCUACGGGAGGCAGCAGUGGGGAAUAUUGCACAAUGGGGGAAACCCUGAUGCAGCGACGCCGCGUGAGUGAAGAAGUAUUUCGGUAUGUAAAGCUCUAUCAGCAGGGAAGAAAAUGACGGUACCUGACUAAGAAGCCCCGGCUAACUACGUGCCAGCAGCCGCGGUAAUACGUAGGGGGCAAGCGUUAUCCGGAUUUACUGGGUGUAAAGGGAGCGUAGACGGCAUGGCAAGUCAGAUGUGAAAGCCUGGGGCUCAACCC